UACGUAGGGGGCAAGCGUUAUCCGGAUUUACUGGGUGUAAAGGGAGCGUAGACGGCACAGCAAGUCUGAAGUGAAAUCCCCGGGCUCAACCCGGGAACUGCUUUGGAAACUGUUGGGCUGGAGUGCUGGAGAGGCAAGCGGAAUUCCUAGUGUAGCGGUGAAAUGCGUAGAUAUUAGGAGGAACACCAGUGGCGAAGGCGGCUUGCUGGACAGUAACUGACGUUGAGGCUCGAAAGCGUGGGGAGCAAACAGG
This 253-nucleotide ribosomal RNA is filed under the name uncultured bacterium. RNAcentral's name for it is "partial 16S ribosomal RNA". It matches the Rfam family "Bacterial small subunit ribosomal RNA", at positions 524 to 776 of the family's 1533-position model. The record is from RNAcentral. RNAcentral also lists the same sequence under 1 other name.